This 259-nucleotide ribosomal RNA is filed under the name uncultured bacterium. RNAcentral's name for it is "partial 16S ribosomal RNA". It matches the Rfam family "Bacterial small subunit ribosomal RNA", at positions 524 to 776 of the family's 1533-position model. The record is from RNAcentral.
CACGUAGGCACCAAGCGUUGUCCGGAUUUAUUGGGCGUAAAGAGCUCGUAGGCGGUUCAGUAAGUCGGGUGUGAAAACUCAGGGCUCAACCCUGAGCUGCCAAGCCCGAUAGGCUGCUGCGACUAGAGUCUGGUAGGGGAGUGGGGAAUUCCUGGUGUAGCGGUGAAAUGCGCAGAUAUCAGGAGGAACACCGGUGGCGAAGGCGCCACUCUGGGCCACGACUGACGCUGAGGAGCGGAAAGCAUGGGUAGCAAACAGG